Molecule: long non-coding RNA, 897 nt
Organism: Hemicordylus capensis (graceful crag lizard)
Lineage: Eukaryota; Metazoa; Chordata; Lepidosauria; Squamata; Cordylidae
Exons: 2
Source: RefSeq, a predicted model, not a curated record
UCCAAAGGAAGAAGAACGCAGCCAUUUUCUCCCACAGCAGAAUGAGUUCUAGUGUUCCACUCACUCUUAUGUGGCUGGGCAGUAGGCACUGAACUCUCCCCUCUCCCUCUAUCUAAUUGGUCUAGGACCAAGGAAUCUGAAGGACCAUCUUCCCACAUACAAACCUGCCUGUCAGGUAAGAUCUUCAUCAGAGGCUGAUCUCCCUGGAGAAGGGGUUAGGUAAGUGACCACCAAAGGACUUUUUCUGUGGCUGCACCUUGAAUGUGGCUCUCUUUCAUCAGUAAAGUUUGCCUGGUGCUGCCUUCAUUAUAUUUUAGGCAUUGAGUGAAGUCUGCCCUGUUUGCUUGAGUUUUUAGUGGUUACGGAUAUAUAUAUUUUAUUAUGUAGAGUGAUUAUGAUGGCUGGUCCUUUUAUUAUUUUAUUAGUUGUUUUCUGGCAAUUUAUUUGGGUUUUUUCAAAUAACGUCUGGUCAAUUAGUGCUGCUCUUUUUUACAUGCUAUUUGAUUUAUUACUGACUUUUAAAUGGUUUUUAUAUUGAUUGUUUUUAUGGAUCUGUGUAAGUCGCCUUGAAUGUUGUUUUUGGCAGAAAGACAGCAUAGAAGAUUCAUCAGCAAAAUAAAUAAAUACAUAAAACACAUGAAAAUGUUUUGGUUCACAAAGAAGGAAAACAGAACUGUGGUCAAAAAUACAGCAAGGGUAGUAAUCACUGUUUAUUUGUUUCUCCCUUACUUGGAAAAAGAUUUGUACAGAUCAAGGGAACAGAAGAUUCCCCUUUACUGUUAUAUGUGUUUUGCAGAGGAAAUGGAAGAUCUUCUACAAAUCAUGAGAACUAUUAAAAACUAAUUGAAAUCUAUGUAUUUUAUACUGCUUUAAUUAUAAACGCCAGCUUUUCAUAAA